RNAcentral lists this ribosomal RNA (253 nucleotides) under uncultured bacterium. RNAcentral's name for it is "partial 16S ribosomal RNA". It matches the Rfam family "Bacterial small subunit ribosomal RNA", at positions 524 to 776 of the family's 1533-position model. The record is from RNAcentral.
UACAGAGGUCUAAAGCGUUGUUCGGAUUCACUGGGCGUAAAGGGUGCGUAGGUGGCGUGGUAAGUCGGGUGUGAAAUUUCGGAGCUUAACUCCGAAACUGCAUUCGAUACUGCCGUGCUUGAGGACUGGAGAGGAGACUGGAAUUUACGGUGUAGCAGUGAAAUGCGUAGAGAUCGUAAGGAAGACCAGUGGCGAAGGCGGGUCUCUGGACAGUUCCUGACACUGAGGCACGAAGGCCAGGGGAGCAAACGGG